CCUACGGGAGGCAGCAGUGAGGAAUAUUGGUCAAUGGCCGGAAGGCUGAACCAGCCAUGCCGCGUGAAGGUCAGUGCCCUAUGGGCUUUAAACUUCUUUUGUGCGGGAGCAAUAAUGGUCACGUGUGGCCAGACGAGAGUACCGUACGAAUAAGCAUCAGCUAACUCCGUGCCAGCAGCCGCGGUAAUACGGGGGAUGCCAGAGUUUUCCGGGUUUGUUGGGUUUAAAGGGUGGGUAGGGUGGGAGGUAAGGCAGCGGGGAAAUGCCCCCGCGCAACGGGGUGAAGUGCCAUUGAUACUGGUUUGCUGGAAUGCGGAUGCAGUGGGAGGAAUGUGGGGUGUAGCGGUGAAAUGCAUAGAUAUCACACAGAACACCGAUUGCGAAGGCAUCUUACGAAUCCGCGAUUGACGCUGAUGCACGAAAGCGUGGGUAUCAAACAGGAUUAGAUACCCCGGUAGUC
This 460-nucleotide ribosomal RNA is filed under the name uncultured bacterium. RNAcentral's name for it is "partial 16S ribosomal RNA". It matches the Rfam family "Bacterial small subunit ribosomal RNA", at positions 338 to 795 of the family's 1533-position model. The record is from RNAcentral.